Molecule: ribosomal RNA, 521 nt
Filed under: uncultured bacterium
Lineage: Bacteria
Description: bacterial SSU rRNA
Rfam family: Archaeal small subunit ribosomal RNA
Source: RNAcentral
AACCUCCGCAAUGUGAGAAAUCGCGACGGGGGGAUCCCAAGUGCCAUUCUUAACGGGAUGGCUUUUCAUUAGUGUAAAGAGCUUUUGGAAUAAGGGCUGGGCAAGACCGGUGCCAGCCGCCGCGGUAACACCGGCAGCUCUAGUGGUAGCAGUUUUUAUUGGGCCUAAAGCGUCCGUAGCCGGUUUAAUAAGUCUCUGGUGAAAUCCUGUAGCUUAACUGUGGGAAUAGCUGGAGAUACUAUUAGACUUGAGACCGGGAGAGGUUAGAGGUACUCCCAGGGUAGAGGUGAAAUUCUGUAAUCCUGGGAGGACCGCCUGUUGCGAAGGCGUCUAACUGGAACGGUUCUGACGGUGAGGGACGAAAGUUAGGGGCGCGAACCGGAUUAGAUACCCGGGUAGUCCUAACUGUAAACGAUGCGGACUUGGUGUUGGGGUGGCUUUGAGCUGCUUCAGUGCCGAAGGGAAGCUGUUAAGUCCGCCGCCUGGGAAGUACGGUCGCAAGACUGAAACUUAAAGGAAUU